UCGCCAUGGAAGGACAUCACCUGGGAGGAC
Molecule: non-coding RNA, 30 nt
Filed under: Homo sapiens (human)
Lineage: Eukaryota; Metazoa; Chordata; Mammalia; Primates; Hominidae
Source: RNAcentral